This 403-nucleotide ribosomal RNA is filed under the name Verrucomicrobiota bacterium. RNAcentral's name for it is "Verrucomicrobia bacterium partial 16S ribosomal RNA". It matches the Rfam family "Bacterial small subunit ribosomal RNA", at positions 355 to 776 of the family's 1533-position model. Lineage: Bacteria; Pseudomonadati; Verrucomicrobiota. The record is from RNAcentral.
UGGGGAAUAUUGCACAAUGGGGGAAACCCUGAUGCAGCGACGCCGCGUGAGCGAAGAAGGUUUUCGAAUCGUAAAGCUCUGUCCUAUGCGAAGAUAAUGACGGUAUCAUAGGAGGAAGCCCCGGCUAAAUACGUGCCAGCAGCCGCGGUAAUACGUAGGUCCCGAGCGUUGUCCGGAUUUAUUGGGCGUAAAGCGAGCGCAGGCGGUUAGAAAAGUCUGAAGUGAAAGGCAGUGGCUCAACCAUUGUAGGCUUUGGAAACUGUUUGACUUGAGUGCAGAAGGGGAGAGUGGAAUUCCAGGUGUAGCGGUGAAAUGCGUAGAUAUAUGGAGGAACACCGGUGGCGAAAGCGGCUCUCUAGUCUGUAACUGACGCUGAGGCUAGAAAGCGUGGGGAGCGAACAGG